Molecule: transfer RNA, 74 nt
Filed under: Vulcanimicrobiota bacterium
Lineage: Bacteria; Bacillati; Vulcanimicrobiota
Description: tRNA-Ser
Rfam family: tRNA
About the family: Transfer RNA (tRNA) molecules are approximately 80 nucleotides in length. Their secondary structure includes four short double-helical elements and three loops (D, anti-codon, and T loops).
Source: RNAcentral
GCGUCCGUAGCUCAACCGGAUAGAGCGCCAACCUGCUAAGUUGGGGGCUGCGGGUUCGAGUCCCGCCGGGCGCG